Long non-coding RNA from Onychostoma macrolepis, 479 nucleotides. RefSeq lists it as uncharacterized. The record is from RefSeq and is a predicted model, not a curated record. The transcript is spliced from 4 exons. NCBI's taxonomy places the organism in Eukaryota, Metazoa, Chordata, Actinopteri, Cypriniformes, Cyprinidae.
AGGAAUGGUUUAGUGUCUUCAAAAAGACCGUUAGCAUCACAACCGUUAACUAGCUAUAGAGGCUAACAAUUAGAGGAGCGUCAGAAAAAAAUACCUAAAACAGGGGAAGUUACAAGAAAAUUUGUAAUGGGAGCUGCUGACAGAGAUACAGGAAACACAGAGCUGGAGCGCAGCGGAUCUCCUGUCGAAGAACAUCUCCAAAGUGCCAUGAACCAUCUGACUAGGCAGUUCGUGAAGACAGAUAACCUGGACAGAAGUCAGUUCCAGAUCCAGCCUCCACACCAGACUUCUCACUCACAAGGAUUGCUGUCUACUAGAUAUUAUGUGUACUCUUCAGACUUAGGUUCAUGCAGAUAUUAUUCAGGGACAUGAACACUUGAAUAUUGCAAAAAUAGAGAAACUACCUCAUUUAAGAAUUUUGUGUUAAUUGCGUGAACAUUAAAAAAAAUGUCUUUUACUGUUUUUUGUUUUGUUUUCCA